AGCUCCAAUAGCGUAUAUUAAAGUUGUUGUGGUUAAAAAGCUCGUAGUUGGAUCUCAGUACACGGUCAACGCCCCGCUUCGGUGGGUCACGUUGUACCUGUGUGUCUCAAACGGCUGAAGCCGGGUGCCUUUAAUCGGGCGCCCGGUCGAGGUCGACACGUUUACUUUGAAAAAAUUAGAGUGCUCAAAGCAGGCGAUUCGUCGCUUGAAUAAUGAUGCAUGGAAUAAUGGAAUAGGUCUUCGGUUCUAUUU
Molecule: ribosomal RNA, 252 nt
Filed under: Arachnida environmental sample
Lineage: Eukaryota; Metazoa; Arthropoda; Arachnida
Description: partial small subunit ribosomal RNA
Rfam family: Eukaryotic small subunit ribosomal RNA
Source: RNAcentral